CCGGCGCUCUCCGUGCCCCCUCCCGCCGCUGCUCGCGCAAAGUGACGGUCGCCCCACUCACCUUUCCUAGGACAUGGUGGGGAGGCUGGGGCGGACGGAGGGGGACAGAGAGGCACCCGCCGCCGCCGCCGCCGCCCCCACCAGCGAGUCCCACGCGAGGCGCCCGGCAGUGAGGAUGGAGAGGAAGAGAAUCCCGGCGGUCGCCCUACUGACGGUGGGAAGAGCGACGGAGCAGGAGAGCUGGGACCCCGCGGGGGACGGCGGCGCCAGAGAGCGCAGAGGGGGUCGUGGGCACCCGCCCGCCCCCUGCAGGCCCCUGUCCCCCGGCUCCUCGUUCUCCACAGCGCUGGUGCCGCCAGCGACCUGGGAGCCGGUCACUCCGGCCGCCCGUCACUCCGGCCGCCCGGCUGGCGGCGCCCCCUGCCCGGGCCUGGGGCGGCCAGUGACGGCUCGGCGGCGGCCGAGCGUGCGUGCGUGCGUGCGUGUGUGCGUGCGUGCGUGCGUGUGUGCGUGCGUGUGGGGGCGGCCGCAGGGGGAGCCCGCGGCGCCACGGCCCCCUCCCCGGGUCACACCCUCACGGCCGGAGGGAGGCAGCGCGGCGUCCGGCCUCCGGGGUGGAAACGGGCCGAGGGGCGCCGGUGACCGCCCUCGGAACCCCAGCCGCUGACAGCUAGGAGGCCGAGAGGAAACGGAGCCCAAAUGCACGCACCCCCUCUCCGCGCCCCCCAAGUCCGGCCCCGACCUCGCGCCGGGCCUCAGGAAACCAUAAAGUAACCUCACAAGUAAAUGUGGACUGCUCAGCUGCCCAAAGUAUGGGGAAUGGGAAUCUGAAGGACCAGUACUGUGGCACUUGAGAUGCAGGUCAAGAAUUCAAGACCUGAAGACAUAAACACAUUAAUCCACAACCCUCUAUGGACUAGCACUUAGGUAACUUAAAAAAAAAUUAAGUUUAUUGGUACAUUUUAGGUAUACAUUAUGAUCCCAUUCAUCAUUGGGAAUUUGUACCCGUACAUGAUAUAUCUUGGUUCUUGUUUUUUCCCAUUUCCCUCUCCUCUCUUCUACCCCUCCACCCCUCACCCCUCCCUAUUUACAAAAGCUUUGUUUCCAUUUUUUUCUUUUCUCAUUUUUUUCUUUCUCUUCUUUCCUUUCCCCCACCUCCUUUCCUAGUUCCCCUUCUCCUUUGAAAUUUUUCUUCCUAUUUAUAUUAUCUGUUAUACAUUUUUGUUCUCACUUACACUUUUGGCUUCUCACACCAGAGAAACUAUUCAGUAUGUACACAUGUGUGUCCGAUUUAUUUCACUAAAGAGUACGGGCUCAAGGUGCAUCCAUUUAGCCAUAAAUGUCUCUGGUUUAUCUUUCUUUCUGGCUGAGUAGUACACCAUUUUGUAAAAAACCCCACAUCUUCUUUAUCCAGUCACCAAUUGACAGGCCUUUGAGCUGUUGCCAAGAUUUAGCUAUUACAAACUGCGCCACUGUAACAUGUGUGUGCAUAUAUCGCUGUGGUAUGAUGCUUUUAAUUCUUUUGGGAAGAUACCCAGCAGGGG
Molecule: long non-coding RNA, 1544 nt
Filed under: Heterocephalus glaber (naked mole-rat)
Lineage: Eukaryota; Metazoa; Chordata; Mammalia; Rodentia; Bathyergidae
Description: lncRNA (ENSHGLG00100035867.1)
Source: RNAcentral